UUUUUUCGGUAGAGGGAGAGAGAUGGGUGGCCCUAGUAUUUUCUGGUGCAAAAAUAUGGUCUAAAUGGUGGAGGGUGAAUUUUGUACUGUUGUGAUAUUUUUUGAAGAAUUACUAAUAUUUUUACACAUAUCUUUUCAAAACAAUCUCUUUUUUUUUUUUCAGUUUUUAUCCCAAUAAUUUUUUUUACUACAUAACGUAUCUUCAAUAUUUGUAAAAUGUAGUUCUUUUACCAUAAAAAAAAUU
Molecule: long non-coding RNA, 244 nt
Filed under: Gossypium raimondii (Peruvian cotton)
Lineage: Eukaryota; Viridiplantae; Streptophyta; Magnoliopsida; Malvales; Malvaceae
Description: long non-coding RNA (GRAI_LNC001041)
Source: RNAcentral